RNAcentral lists this ribosomal RNA (1806 nucleotides) under Triticum aestivum (bread wheat). RNAcentral describes it as "partial small subunit ribosomal RNA". The record is from RNAcentral. Lineage: Eukaryota; Viridiplantae; Streptophyta; Magnoliopsida; Poales; Poaceae.
AUGGGGACUCCACACAGCAAGCCAACGGAACAGACGACAUCAUCGCCGAUACCUCCAGGUAUAUGUUCACCAAGUCAAACACCAUCCCAGGAAACUGAAUGUGUUGCAGGCCCGAGAGAGGGGACAAGUGUUGACGACUCUAACGAACGGAUUAUACCCGUAGCCGACGUUGUUGACAUGAUGUACCCAUGUAGUCCAGGAGUCCAUAUUACUCCCUACGAACGGAUGAUACUUCAGACCGAUGGCGAUAGCACAUGUGAUACUCCAGAUCAACCAUCCUCUAUGGACCUUCAUGAAAAAAGAGAGCUAAUGAAAGCUCGGAGGCGAGCUGCUUAUAGAAAGAAAAAAGAGAAGGCUACCGUCAAGCAACAAGAUGAAAAAUUGUCUGCCCUUACGAUAUCAGAUAUGCAAAAUGUUCCCAUGUUACCUCUCGGUGAUAUCACUAAGGUGUGUCAACCAACCUCGGUGGACCUUGACGAGAAAAAAGAGCUAACAAAUGCUCGAAGGCGAGCGGGUUAUCGAAAGAAAAAAGAGGAGGCAGCCAGCAAGCAACAAGAUGAAAAUCUGCCUGCGAUUACGAAAUCAGUUAUGCUAAAUGUUCCCCAAUUACCUCUCGGUGAUAUCACUAAUGUGUGCCAACCAUCCUCGAUGGACCUUGACGAGAAAAAGGAGCAAAUAAAGGCUCGGAGGAGAGCUGCUUAUCGAAAGAAAAAAGAGGAGGCAGCCAGCAAGCAACUAGAUGAAAAUCAGCCUGCCCUUACGAUAUUGGGUGCAUACCUAAGCAGAACCUUUGGUGAUGGUGCUGUAGAUGGCGACCUCAUCGAAAUCAAUGAGCACCUACAAAAUGCCGACCAGCAAACCAGUGAUCCGGUAACAAAGGCAGAUAAUGGAGCGGACGAGCAGAGUCAUGAGUCCAAAGCUCGGCGUGGGACGAGAGAGCGAGCUUGCAAGGGAAGUAUGGCGGCGAAGACGCGUCAGGUGAAAAUUGGGAAGCAAAAAACAUGUUCGAAGGUACCACAUGGUGAGAGGAAUGCUCUACGCGACCGGCGUAAUGAAAGGUUUGCAGGUAGGGUGAUGACACCAACCGUCAGGUCCAUCUCCAUACCGGAAAUGAGCUCAACUGGACAACCUACCGUACUGGAAGCACACGGUGCCUCGACCCCAUCUAGCACGCCGGAGUACACGAUCAGAAGUGAAGACGACAUGGACGCUUACCUUAGUCGUCUCAUGAAUGAUAAUGUCAACCCUGACAUCCUCUUUGACGAUGAGUAUUACCUUUUUGCUGGUGAAGGCUCAGAUGUUGAUGACAUGGAGCACGACGAAUUGGAAGACUCAAGUCAAAAUACAUAUGUCGACCAUGAUCCAUUGGACUAUGUCUACUCAAACCUCCCGGACCACACACACAUCCUGAAGCACGCCGCAAAUUGCCAUCACUGCAAGGCCAAGAAGUUUGUGUCCGAGGCCCCGGGAUUCUGUUGUCGCAGUGGGCAGAUCCAGCUGAAGCAACCGGAUCCCAUCCCGGAGCUAAUGAGGCUUUGGUCUAGCAUGGAUGCGGACUCAAGGCAUUUUCGGGAGAACAUACGGUUCUUCAACGGCCACUUCUCCUUCACAACCCUCGGCAUCAGCCUUGAUGAAAGCUACACAAACAUGAAGUCUGGGCUGUACACGUUCCGUGCGCACGGCACCAUCUACCACAACGUUCAUUCCUUUGGGCCAACAUCACGUCCAGAUCAUCUACAGCUGUACUUCUACGACGAUGACCCGGGCCUAACCCAUCGCAAGGCUGCCACCGAGCAAUUAGACUAG